UACGGAGGGGGCUAGCGUUGUUCGGAAUUACUGGGCGUAAAGCGCGCGUAGGCGGACCUGCAAGUCGGGGGUGAAAGCCCGAGGCUCAACCUCGGAACUGCCUUCGAUACUGCGGGUCUCGAGUCCGGGAGAGGUGAGUGGAAUUCCUGGUGUAGCGGUGAAAUGCGUAGAGAUCAGGAGGAACACCAGUGGCGAAAGCGGCUCUCUGGGACGGUACUGACGCUGAGACGCGAAAGCGUGGGGAGCGAACAGG
This 253-nucleotide ribosomal RNA is filed under the name uncultured bacterium. RNAcentral describes it as "partial 16S ribosomal RNA". It matches the Rfam family "Bacterial small subunit ribosomal RNA", at positions 524 to 776 of the family's 1533-position model. The record is from RNAcentral.